Molecule: non-coding RNA, 115 nt
Organism: Triticum aestivum (bread wheat)
Lineage: Eukaryota; Viridiplantae; Streptophyta; Magnoliopsida; Poales; Poaceae
Source: Rfam
CUUGUACUCCCUCCGUCCGAAAAUACUUGUCAUUGAAAUGGAUGUAUCUAGAUGUAUUUUAGUUCUAGACACAUCCAUUUUGAUGACAAGUAAUUCCGGACGAGGGGAGUACUUG